AGGGAUGAAACAUUUCGAAAUACGAAAGGAGAUAAUAUUUUCGUCAUGUGGAUCGCCGUGUGACGAUGACAGGAAGUACUAACACAGUCACAUGAUAGCAAAUUACAUCUCAUGCUGUUGUUUACAUCGAAAGAGGAUAUCGCUCUAGAUAUAAAUAGAUAAAAAAAGGAAAGAAAAACACAACAAAAGAAUGAGUUAUCAAGCACCUGCCGGAUCAUACCAACAAAAUCCGCCACCUUAUGGAAUGAACUCUCCUCCACCGGCCGGGGCAUACUCUGGUCCUCCUGCGGGGGCUUAUCAACCGGCGGGCGCUUAUCAACCAGCGGGGGGAUAUGCUCCACAACCCGCGGGUGCCUAUCAACCUUAUCAACAGCAACCCACCACGGUAUAUGUUUACGAGGGAAAAAGUAAAGAACAGCGAGACCAGGAGAUGGCGGAGGAUUGUUGUCUGUUGGCGUGCUGUUGGACAUUGUUGUGUUGUUGUCUCCUGAACAACUAAGUUGUGUUGUUGUUUCCUGAACGACUAAGAUGUGCCUUCUGUAAUUUCCAUUUACACCCGGGAAUCAGACAAAAGAUACUCUACAAACUAGAAAGACAUGUCUAUUUAGUGAGGCGUGUUUUAUCGUGGAUGGAGAAUUUCUCUAAGACAUUCCUAGCUUUGAGUUCUAUGAUAUUUAGUCCUAUUAUCAAAAGUCUCUAGUAUUCAAAAUACAGUUAGGUUUGGCCAUUUGACAAUUAUCAGUGUUAAUUCAUGUCACCCUGAAAAACGUGUGGAACAAUUUAGUUUGUCCACAAUAUCAUAACGUUUGUACUUUCGUUUUUCCCCUUCUUUUAAUUUGCAAUCGUUGUUGUGUUUUGUUGAUGUGCUCUAAAACGAGUUUGUGUCGGUCAUUUAUGCAAGAUGACAGUGUCAUGAAGAUUCCUAAUGCUAUUAUCAGCUUAUGGAUAUAUAAUAUUUCUCAAAAGCUUUGAAAGGUUACUUCAUUACUUCCUAAUUGGCAUACAACUAUGGUGUCUGUCAAUCUACAUCCUGUAGUAGAGUUGCCUCGCUUUAGCUAGUGGACGCUUGCUUAUCAUGUACCAUGAAAGGGGAUGAUGAUUAACUCCAUAGUAGGCGUUGGCGCGAUACUUACGGUUGUAUGUCAAAAUUUGUAGCCCGGUGGCGUCUUACAUGAAAGAAAAAUUAUGCUUAUGAUGAAGCUGUAUUUGUGGUUAGACGUCGUUUGAAUUCAGGGUAAAUAGUUGAUUUGAUUGAUUUUAUGUUCUUAAAAGUCCCUCUCGAGAAUUUUUCACUCACAUGGAGACGUCACCAUUGCCGGUGAAGGGCUGCAAAAUUUAGGCCUAUGCUCGUCGCUUACGGUCUUUGAGCAGGAAGGGAUCUUUAUCGUGCCAUACCUGCUGUAAAGACAUCGUUUUCAAGUUUAUACUGGUAAUGACUUGAGCGCUGUCUAGAAAGAUCGACCGAGGGUUACCAAUGAUUAAACAGACAAGAACAUGUCACUGUACUUUGCAAGGGACAUAAAUACCGUGACCCAAUCAAUGUCAUAGCGGGCUCAGUACGCAUGUUUGAGGGUCGUGGUUCUUCACUUGUAUACCAAUUCCGUUUGAUUUCUUGUUUUGAAAUUUAGCCCAUUUUGUGCUCCUUACAGGCUAAGAAUCAUUAAACUGUAGUGUCAGACAGUUGAACAUGUGCACUAUGACUGCAGACAGCAUUGUUCUGUCGCUGAGUAUGACUGGAUGUGGUGUAGAUAACUUUACAAUUCUUCCUGGUCCACAUUGCAAUAUUUCACCAACACUUACAGGAUUUCAUUUGACUCUUCAAUCUUUGCAAAACAUCCAAUCUGGGCAAAUUCUUGAUAUCACAAUAAAUCUAAUUGAUCUUUUCUGCUUUUUUUUAAAAUCAUGAUUUAAGUAAUCUAGAUUAAGUUCUGGGGAAUGAUAACAUCAACUAGACCUACAGUAUACAUGUACUUCAUCUAAUUUGACUUCAACUUAUUACGGAACAUCAGAACUAUUAUUUCGUCUUCGAUUCCGUCGCGGUUUUAAUAUUCAGUAUGACCAACUAGAGCUCGUUUUCUGCGUUAACUUGGGCAACAUUUCAUUAAAUAAGCACACUGCAUAUAUAAGAUAUAUUAAGCGUCGUUUUUGAGGGGGGGGGGGGGGGAGAGAUAAAAGUUGACUCCUUCAUAAGAAAAGUAGUUCUACCCAAAAUUGGGGGGGGGGGGGGGUCUUUAAUAUAUUCAGUACAUCAAUUCAAUUCAUCGGUCCAACCUUGCAUUUACACUACCAUUCAUCACUACUAUAAAAAGUGACCAGCUAAUGAAUUAAUGUUUUAAACAAUGCCAUGUAAUUGAUAUAACAUUGGGAAAGGUCCGUUAUCGCCUUUAGGUGGAACAGUGUUUCCCGUAUCCACAUAACAGAAAAAAUACCUAAAUCAAAUUCUUUGUGACCAAACACAUCUGAUUAAUCAAAACUAAAGACAUUGUCUCCUACUAGGAAUUUGAUCUGGCCUAAAAACCAGAAUUGGUGUAAAGGUCAUUUGGGUGACUGGGUACAUUUUCUUCAAUGACGUAAAUAUGAUUUUUACCACUCUUGCUUGGGUCGCCUGGAGAGUAUCUGUUUAUGAUUCAAAUUCCACAAACUCAUCAAUUUCAUUGGCUAAACCUACUGUCCGAUAUUUUGUGAGCUUGAUAUUUUAAUUCAUUAUGAUUUAUGAAAGCCAGACUUUGAGAAAAUUCUUGUAAAGUUCUUGGUAAAAAUUAUUUCUACCAAAUUUGGUAUAAAUAUAAUAUACUAUCCAUACGAAAAGAUAUUCUGAAUGUAUAAUAACGAUGAAUAAAUAUAUUAAUAAUAAUUAUUUUUCUCUAUUAUCCAGAACAGCUUUUCUUUGCCUUUGCGUAUCUCUGAGGUUGACUUUUGCAUGAUGUUUAAGCAAAAUGCCCCAGAGAAGCAACAUGACAUCUUCAAUCGUAGCCCCAAUACCUCCCCUCUCUGAUUUAUCUCAAUAGGGUCAAGUCUAACACGGUUCAUCUGAGCUCACGACCAACACCGUAGAUACAGUUUCUGAAAUUUUAGGUUUACCAUCUGGCCAGAAAUAGUGACUUAUACUGUUUUAUCGACAAUAUGAAAUAAAAGUCACAGGUGCUUGGGUUCAGGACCCCCCCCCCCCCCCCCCCCCCUCCAAAUAAGCUACAUGAGUUGAUUAAUUAUUUUUUUGUUAAAAAUAUUUCUAAUACAUGCCAACAACGUCGUGCAUACCCCUAAAGUCCAAAAUAAUUCAAAAUAAGCCCUUCUAGAAAAAUACCCUCACUGGUUAUUAUAUUGAUCAGGUAAACGGAGUUAUCCGUAUAUGCAACAUGUCUUUUAUGUCUAAUAUACCUUUUAAUUAUUUCGGAAGACAUUUAAGAUUGUAUAGAGUCAAUAUGUUGAUGUUUCACAUGUUUACCUUUCACUGUUCUAUGGAAUUCAUCAUACCCGCCAUUUUGCAAGUCUUCUCGAACGUUUUGUUUUCUACAAUUUCAUUGGCUAAGAGGCUUAAUCCUGUCUUAUCAGAUUGAGCGUUUAUUUUUAGUGUCUUAUUGGGUUUUUGUCCUAUAUAAGGAACUGCACGAGAUCUCUCUGCUAGGAUCAAGAACUUAGGUUCGUGCUUUUCAAAGAACUGUGGGUUCUAUUCUUUUCUUUACAUAGAGUAGGGUUGUUCAACAUGCAGUAAGUAAAAUUAACGUAGAGUUGUUAGAAAACAGUCUAUAGGAGUUAGAUUUUUCUGGAUAAAAUGUUGAUAUUCCUGUAGAGUCGAGGUCUACUUUUUUUAAGGGUAGAAUUAGAUAUCCCUUACCUUAGUAUUUUACAGAGUUAGUAGUUUUAUGCUUAGGCUACCUCGGCGUUUGGCCUUCAACUGUAUUACUUUGAGGUGUGAGGGGUCCCGUUGGUGUAGUAACACUGUAUCUUUUGACAGUGUAUGGAAGCGUGUUAGUGUCUUAACUUUACAUUUUUAGAAAAUUAUUUUUCGUAAUUUUGGUCAUUUACUUUGGGCGAAUUUUACAUUCCUCUCUGAUUGUAUCGGUUCAUUUUCAUUGGAAGAAUUAUUUGUUAUCAAAAUCCAUAUUUACCUAUGCUAUAAUAAAUUUAUAAACUUUACAUGUCUUUUCAUUUCAAACAAGGCGUGGAAUAUAAUUUGGAAAUCACAACCGAACCUGGGUACAACACGGAAACAGUGUGUUCCGUAACUUAUGUAGUAUAAUGAGUCCUUCUGACUCAUAGUACUAUUGAUAGUUGAUUUGAUAAAGAAGAUAGAACUUGUGCUUUGCGAGAAGCUAGACUAAUUUCAGUCCCAGAACACACACAGUCUCCCCGUUACACAUGGAAACAAUAAAUUCACGUAGGACCGGUAAUUCAGGUAUUGUCAGUGAGGUUUUAAGUUUCUGAUCGCCGUGUAAUGGAUGCCAUCAUCUUGGGAUAUGAACAGCAAAGAGAAACAAAUUCAUAUUCAAAUAAAAUUGUUCUGCCUUUAGACGAAUUUAUUUCAAACUACAAAGGACUAUUUUGUACUCGCGACGGAACACCAUAUUUGAACCGUCUGGCGUUAGGAAGGAUAACUCGCUUUAUACAGAAAUCAAAACGCAAGAGUUAUCUCACUUUUUAACACUUCCACGAAAUGAAUCUGAAAAAAUAAAUUUUAAAAAAGUGCAAUCCACGAAAAUUGAAAUUGGCUUUACGAACUUAUAUCAUUCCAUAAUAACGUAAAUGUUUUGAGCUGAAAAUUUUCAUAAUUCACUGUAAACUUGUGAAUCGUUCGCUGAUGAUGACAGGAAGUACAGGCAUCAGAUUACACUGUGUUUGCAUUGGAGGGAGAUACCAAUCUGACGAAAGGGGGAGGAAGAAUACAACAAAAGAAUGAAUCAAGCACCAGCCGAAUCAUACAUAGAGAAUCCGCCACCUUAUGAAAUAAACCCUCAUUCAUCGACCUUGACAAAUUCAGGACUUUUCGCUGGGGUAUAUCCACCAACGACGGUUUAUCCACCAGUGGUGAUUGAUCAACCAACGGGAGGAUGUGUUCUACAGCAACCCUUAGCUUGGGCAAAUGGAUCUUUUCAGCACGCACCCACUAUUAUUUAUGCCCACGAGGGUCAAAACAGAGAAAAACGAGAUGAGGAUGAUGAUGAUGAUGAUGAGGAGGAGGAUGACUGUAGUUUGCUUUGGGACAUUUGCUUUGGUUCCACGGACAACGUUGACGAACAUGAUUUUAUUGUUCCCUGAACAACUACAAGAUAAUUAAGAUAUAACUGAUUGUAAUUACCAUUUACAUUCACGAAAUAGACAAAGGAGACCAAACAAACUGUAAUAGUAUUAUAAUUUGUAUUGAUAGUUUAUGUCAUUCUGAAAGAUGUGUUCAGGAAUUCUUAAAAUGUCAUCAAUACUUUUAA
This is an RNA transcript of Ostrea edulis (European flat oyster), 5423 nucleotides long. RefSeq lists it as uncharacterized. NCBI's taxonomy places the organism in Eukaryota, Metazoa, Mollusca, Bivalvia, Ostreida, Ostreidae. The transcript is spliced from 5 exons. The record is from RefSeq and is a predicted model, not a curated record.